Molecule: long non-coding RNA, 2499 nt
Organism: Egretta garzetta (little egret)
Lineage: Eukaryota; Metazoa; Chordata; Aves; Pelecaniformes; Ardeidae
Exons: 3
Source: RefSeq, a predicted model, not a curated record
UGGUGGCGAGGCUUUUCCGGCCUCCUAAUAAAGCUUCAGGUUUAAAUUAAGCGUGUGCUGUGUCCAGGCGCCAUUGCUGUACUGCAUACCCUGGGGCCGGGUUUCCCAUGGAAGCAAGGCUUAAACAAUUGUACUCUCCGUUGGUUUUGAUCCUCGGUUAGCUUUUGGACCAAUUGGCUGCUUUGAUCAAACUGAACAGAAAUGUGGAUAAAUAAAUCAUUUCAGGUUUCGUGGUUAACAGGUGGCCAGAUAGAGCAGAAGCACUCUGAUGGGGGACGAUGUUGUAGUUGAAAUUCAUACUUCACUAGACACCAAAGAAUUAACAUGGGGAAAAAAGACUUGAUAUAAAUGCCUCCAUGGUAAAUAUCCUUCAGCCUUUGGUGCGCACACCUUCUGAUGCACUAAUCAUUCACAAACCAUGAGUCAGCAGAAAAUCAGUCUCACUUAGUUCUGAUAUUUGGUAAACUAACUUUUUAUUUGACUGCAAUUCUAUUUUCUGGCUUUAUGUGGUAUUAGCCUAGUGUUUUACAACCCCAGUAACGCUCAAAGCACUGAUCGUACAGACCUAAUCAGGCUACUUGUUUGUGUAAUAUUAACUAUAUUUGUCUUUGCACACUUGAUCUUCAGAAUUAGUUUACCUCAGUUUAGAUACUUAAAUUUGGAUUUAUUGCCUUACUCAUUUUGAAAAACAUUUUUAUAAGUGUGGAGUUGUUUCUCUGCUAAUUAACCUCCUCUCGGUUAAUGAAGAAAAUGGAUUAUUUUUGUUUUGUUUUUCAGUUCAUGCAAAAAUGUGAACCAGGUCUUGGAGAGACUAAAGAAUGAUGCUAUGUUUUGAUGGUUUAGCUGUCUGUAAAUAAGGAGUGAUCAGAACCUUGUCUAAAGCCUACAGCUCAGAUCUGAAAAGGAGCAACACUGAAGUACUCCCAUGUUAAACAAAAUCAAUAAUGCUGAAUUUAGCAGAUGAUGAUUUCCAUAGCAACCAGUGCUCAUAUAACAAAUUCAGGAUGAUACUGUAUAAUGACUGGAGAAUCGAGCACAAGAAGAUGCUGUCAAAUGAGGCACAACCCUGCUUGGAUUUUUCCUUUAGGCUGUGCAGUAUCUCAAAGUGGACCAGUGGCAAAAAAUCUGUAGUGGCAUCUCAGAGUUCCUCAGUUGCUGGGUAUUUCUCACACUGUGGUUAGAUAAUUUGAAUAAAGGUUUUAUUUAAACUUCAAAGUGUCUGUGCUAGACCUAAGAAAAAGGUCCUUCUAGCAAAAUUUAUCUCUGCAGCUUUCUGUAACGGAUGCCUUCCAUAAUGGAAGAGUGUAAGAGUUGGAGAAGUAUGCGAUGUUACAUUUCCAGAUUACUCUGGACUCUAGGAAUUACUGACAAGGGAUUUCUUUGCAAAUAACAGGCCCAGGUGGAUUUUUGUUUAAUUAGUUUUCCAGUCAUCUUUGGGCCAAAAAUCCUGUCUCCACAGUAUUUUGCUGCAAGGAGUUCCAUGGCUGAACAAGUUGCUUUAUGAGAACAAGCAUUUUGUUUAUGUUAAAUCGGCCACAUCCUGGGUUUUGUAUUGGGAGAGCCUGUGAAUGAUUUAUUCAGUGUCCCGGAUGUCUAGUUUCCAGAGGUAGGAUUUAUAUACUAGAGGAUUAUAGGCUAGGAUUUUGAAUUUGAGCCAAAUGCUUUCUUUUGUGCCCUCCCCUAGGGUAGAUAUUCCUCACUGAUUUCUGUGAAGUUACUCAAAUGUUUAAAAUUAAUGAGUUGUAAAAUUUGUACAUAUACAGGAGGGAAAACAAAUGUAGAUGUUUGCAAGUAUUAUAGAGCCUUUUAAUAGGUCGCUACAAAAUGUUGUUUAAUUGAAGUAGUAGAUGACUGAAUUAAAAUUAAAUUGACUGGAAUCUGAAUAAAGCACAUAUAAACAAACAGUUAUGCUAUCGUAACAAUGUAGGGUUUAAAAUAGCCACUGGAGGGCUCACUAAUUUCAUGUUAAAUGCCAAGCUGGUCUUUGUAAGCCAGUACUUGCAGUUUUUGGCUAAGACUGUAUUAAUUGCUGCACUAGCCAUUUGAAGAAGACUGGUUGAUAACAAAAUCUUUGCAGAUAAUGGGCAGAGAGCACUUACAUGUUCAUCUCAAAGAAUAACACUCUUGUGAUUAAUACCUGUGUCACGGUGUGGGAACAUUUAAAAAGGUUUGAAAGGUAGGAGGAUCUAAAUGUCAUAGAAUAAACAUAAAGGACCAGAUUUCCCACCCCCUUACCAUAAAAAUCUAAAAAGUCAUCCUGUCAGGCAGCAGGGUUUCCCCAUUUUGAAGAGCCACCCACACACACCUGGCAGAUUUUCCCCUCCCUCUUCUGUUCUGCAGGUGACACGGAAGCCUCAGCGAUGAUUCAGGCCCAGGGCUGUGGCCUUCUUGGACUGCUGAUAGAGCUGGGGUCAAAUGCAACACAUCUCAUUGGUGUCAGUUUCUCCUGACAUUAUGAAUCAAGUCUUUGAUUGCAGUUAAGAAGAACUUAGCUUUAAA